AUGAUCGAUCUACAGUCGGAGCAGGUGAAAAAGGUGUGUGAUGGUCGUGGCUUCUGUAAUUUGAUUCCAGUUGUUAGCUUCUACACUCCACAUUCUAGGCUCCAAGUGCCCGGGGACGAAAACCACAACCCAGCGCUGCAGCUGAACCUACUGAGUGGUGGUCAGCAGGGGGGAUGGGAGGAGAAAUCACUAGAGUUGGCACAAGAACUGUUCGAUAAGGGAUGCAAGGCUAUCAAGGAGAAGAACUUCGCCAAUGCGGUUGACUGCUUCAGCCACGCCCUCGAGAUCAGGGUUCGACAUUAUGGAGGACUUGCUCUCGAGUGUGCUAGCACGUUUUCCAGAUAUGGAUGUGCCUUGGUAUGCAAAGCUUGGGAGGCGACCAAUCCUCCAGCUAAUGUUUCAAAGCGCACACCAAAUGAAGAAUCGAUCAAAAUUACACAUACAACCUCAACCAGCAAAGAUGAUGCUGGGAACUUAGAGGCCUCUAGUAGCAGUGUUGAGCAUGUUCCACCUACGGGGAAAGGUGGGUAUGAAGAAGGGGCAAACUUGAAUGGGAAAGAUCUGAAGGAUGAGAACAUGACAGGUAAUGGAGAUGAUUCUGAUUUGAAUCUUGCCUGGAAAAUGUUGGAUACUGCAAGAGUGAUAGUUGCCAAGGGCCCAGAGAAUACAAUGGAGAAAUGCACUAUAUUUUAUGCCCUAGCUGAAGUCGCCAUGAAAAGAGAGGACUGGGACAACUCAAUUGGUUACUACUUCAAAGCUUUAGCCAUCUUGGAGCAUUUGGUUAGGCCUGACCAUAUUCGUAUUGCGGAACUAAACUUCCGCAUAUGUUUGGCCUUUGAGUUAGCAUCCAAGGUUGGGGAUGCGAUCCCAUAUUGUGUGAAGGCUAUUUCACUAUGCAAGUCACGUAUGCAGAAUCUGAAACAUGCCAAGGAAGCUUUGCUGGCUGAUAAAGAGGUUUGCACAUCUGCUGCUGGAGGACGCUCGGGAAAGUUCACUCCAGAAGUGGAGAUAGCUUUCCUUUCUAGAUUCUUGGCCCGACUCCAGAAGAAGCUUGAAAAACUGGAGCUAGCAAUGUCAGCCCCAAGCUCUUGCACAGAUAAGACUAUGAAGAGGGCUCUCUCAAUGGCGAGUCAUGAGCAGAAUGUUAGCAGUACUGUGGCAAGAGCUGCAUCUUCGACUUCACAGAUGGCUGGACCAAACGACAGCUUGCGUUCCCCAACUAUGUCUACAGCAGCAACAACAGGAGGCAUUGGAAGUGGUGUAACUGACUUCAGGAUUGUUAGCACAGGUAUGGAACACGGUAAUGACAAGCCGAUCUCUGACGAACCUUCUCCAAAGCGGUUUGCAGCAGAUGAUUCACCACUCGUGAAUGAAAUGUGA
Molecule: ribosomal RNA, 1380 nt
Filed under: Triticum aestivum (bread wheat)
Lineage: Eukaryota; Viridiplantae; Streptophyta; Magnoliopsida; Poales; Poaceae
Description: partial small subunit ribosomal RNA
Source: RNAcentral